UACAUGGGGUGCAAACGUUGCUCGGAAUUAUUGGGCGUAAAGCGCACGUAGGCGGUUCGUUAAGUCGGAUGUGAAAGCCCUCGGCUCAACUGAGGAAGUGCACCCGAAACUGGCGAGCUUGAGUACGAAAGAGGAUCGCGGAAUUCCCGGUGUAGAGGUGAAAUUCGUAGAUAUCGGGAGGAACACCGGUGGCGAAGGCGGCGAUCUGGGUCGAUACUGACGCUGAGGUGCGAAAGCGUGGGGAGUAAACAGG
This 253-nucleotide ribosomal RNA is filed under the name uncultured bacterium. Its description in RNAcentral is "partial 16S ribosomal RNA". It matches the Rfam family "Bacterial small subunit ribosomal RNA", at positions 524 to 776 of the family's 1533-position model. The record is from RNAcentral.